GUCUCUAUGGCUCAGUCGGUAGAGCGUUGGUCUCAUAUUCAUCAAUAUGACCCUGCCUUUAGGCCGGGAUAUCCAAAGGUCGCAAGUUCGAGCCUUGCUAGGGACA
This is a transfer RNA of 106 nucleotides. It matches the Rfam family "tRNA". Rfam says of the family: Transfer RNA (tRNA) molecules are approximately 80 nucleotides in length. Their secondary structure includes four short double-helical elements and three loops (D, anti-codon, and T loops). The record is from Rfam.